AACGAACGCUGGCGGCAUGCCUAACACAUGCAAGUCGAGCGGUAAGGCCCUUUCGGGGGUACACGAGCGGCGAACGGGUGAGUAACACGUGGGUGACCUGCCCUUAGCUCUGGGAUAAGCCUGGAAAACUGGGUCUAAUACCGGAUAUGACUCCAUGACGCAUGUUGUGGGGUGGAAAGCCUUGUGCGGCUGGGGAUGGGCCCGCGGCCUAUCAGCUUGUUGGUGGGGUGAUGGCCUACCAAGGCGA
Molecule: ribosomal RNA, 247 nt
Filed under: uncultured Actinomycetes bacterium
Lineage: Bacteria; Bacillati; Actinomycetota; Actinomycetes
Description: uncultured actinobacterium partial 16S ribosomal RNA
Rfam family: Bacterial small subunit ribosomal RNA
Source: RNAcentral